RNAcentral lists this ribosomal RNA (501 nucleotides) under uncultured bacterium. RNAcentral describes it as "partial 16S ribosomal RNA". It matches the Rfam family "Bacterial small subunit ribosomal RNA", at positions 30 to 523 of the family's 1533-position model. The record is from RNAcentral.
AUUGAACGCCGGCGGCAGGCUUAACACAUGCAAGUCGAGCGGGGGAAGGUAGCUUGCUACCGGACCUAGCGGCGGACGGGUGAGUAAUGCUUAGGAAUUUGCCUAUUAGUGGGGGACAACAUCUCGAAAGGGAUGCUAAUACCGCAUACGUCCUACGGGAGAAAGCAGGGGAUCUUCGGACCUUGCGCUAAUAGAUGAGCCUAAGUCGGAUUAGCUAGUUGGUGGGGUAAAGGCCUACCAAGGCGACGAUCUGUAGCGGGUCUGAGAGGAUGAUCCGCCACACUGGGACUGAGACACGGCCCAGACUCCUACGGGAGGCAGCAGUGGGGAAUAUUGGACAAUGGGGGGAACCCUGAUCCAGCCAUGCCGCGUGUGUGAAGAAGGCCUUAUGGUUGUAAAGCACUUUAAGCGAGGAGGAGGCUACUUUAGUUAAUACCCAGAGAUAGUGGACGUUACUCGCAGAAUAAGCACCGGCUAACUCUGUGCCAGCAGCCGCAGUAA